This 531-nucleotide ribosomal RNA is filed under the name uncultured bacterium. Its description in RNAcentral is "bacterial SSU rRNA". It matches the Rfam family "Bacterial small subunit ribosomal RNA", at positions 979 to 1509 of the family's 1533-position model. The record is from RNAcentral.
CCUUGACAUACUAAGAACUUUCCAGAGAUGGAUUGGUGCCUUCGGGAACUUAGAUACAGGUGCUGCAUGGCUGUCGUCAGCUCGUGUCGUGAGAUGUUGGGUUAAGUCCCGCAACGAGCGCAACCCUUUUCCUUAUUUGCCAGCGGGUCAUGCCGGGAACUUUAAGGAUACUGCCAGUGACAAACUGGAGGAAGGCGGGGACGACGUCAAGUCAUCAUGGCCCUUACGGCCAGGGCUACACACGUGCUACAAUGGUCGGUACAAAGGGUUGCUACCUCGCGAGAGGAUGCUAAUCUCAAGAAGCCGAUCGUAGUCCGGAUCGCAGUCUGCAACUCGACUGCGUGAAGUCGGAAUCGCUAGUAAUCGCGGAUCAGAAUGCCGCGGUGAAUACGUUCCCGGGCCUUGUACACACCGCCCGUCACACCAUGGGAGUUUGUUGCACCAGAAGUAGGUAGUCUAACCGCAAGGAGGACGCUUACCACGGUGUGGCCGAUGACUGGGGUGAAGUCGUAACAAGGUAGGCGUAGAUGA